Molecule: ribosomal RNA, 494 nt
Filed under: uncultured bacterium
Lineage: Bacteria
Description: partial 16S ribosomal RNA
Rfam family: Bacterial small subunit ribosomal RNA
Source: RNAcentral
GACGAACGCUGGCGGCGCGCUUAACACAUGCAAGUCGAACGGAAAGGCCUGCUUUCCCUUGUGGAUUGCGGGUACUCGAGUGGCGAACGGGUGAGUAACACGUGAGUGAUCUGCCCCCAACUUGGGUAUAAGCCUGGGAAACUGGGUCUAAUUCCCGAUAGGACUGCAGGGUGGUGCCUGUGGUGGAAAACGAUUUUCUAGUGGUUGGGGAUGAGCUCGCGGCCUAUCAGCUUGUUGGUGGGGUAAUGGCCUACCAAGGCGGCGACGGGUAGCCGGCCUGAGAGGGUGGACGGCCACAUUGGGACUGAGAUACGGCCCAGACUCCUACGGGAGGCAGGAGUGGGGAAUAUUGCACAAUGGGCGGAAGCCUGAUGCAGCGACGCCGCGUGGGGGAUGACGGCCUUCGGGUUGUAAACUCCUUUCGACCGCGAGGAAGCCACCUGGUUGGAAGGGUGGUGACGGUAGUGGGAGAAGAAGCACCGGCUAACUACGUG